This 224-nucleotide unclassified non-coding RNA is filed under the name uncultured Terriglobales bacterium. RNAcentral describes it as "uncultured Acidobacteriales bacterium contains 16S-23S intergenic spacer region". The record is from RNAcentral. Lineage: Bacteria; Pseudomonadati; Acidobacteriota; Terriglobia; Terriglobales.
UCCCCCUUAUCGGAGGCAGUUUCACUAGAGUGCUCACCAUAACGUGUUAGCAACUAGGGAUGAGGGUUGCGCUCGUUGCGGGACUUAACCCAACAUCUCACGACACGAGCUGACGACAGCCAUGCAGCACCUCCGCAGCAGUCUCUUGCGAGAAAGGGAUGUUUCCACCCCGGUCCACUGCGCUUCGAGCCCAGGUAAGGUGGGGAUGACGUGUCGUUACCUUA